RNAcentral lists this unclassified non-coding RNA (924 nucleotides) under Homarus americanus (American lobster). Its description in RNAcentral is "integumentary mucin A.1-like, transcript variant X3". The record is from RNAcentral. Lineage: Eukaryota; Metazoa; Arthropoda; Malacostraca; Decapoda; Nephropidae.
AUUCUUGCCAUCCAUGUUUAUUCACUGGGUCUGGUUCACCAUCCAAAUGGCGUCAAUUACAAGGAGAAAACAGAAACUCCAAAAUAUUCGUAACUUUAGAUUUAAAAAGAAGUUAUUCCACAAAGAAACAAGAGGAAUGGUGAGGCAGCUGUUACAAGUGUCUGGUGAAGACUGGGUGGCUGCUGUCAAGGAGUACGUUGAUAAUAAUGGUCGUGUUGGAAAGUGCUGUAACCCGCUUGCCGAAAGGCUCGACUAACGGGGCAGUGUACUCGACUGUCUUCACUGAGCAAAUUGAAGUAUGGUAGCCAUCCGCUGGUGGGGGAGAAGCUGAUGUUGAAAAUGGUUAAAUGCUGUGAACAUUGGCCUGCUGCACCACCUCUUUAAAAGAUCUGCUGCAGUCCAGAAGACGUGAUUGUUGUUGUUGGAUGAUGCACAGGGCCAUCGAGUGAACGUGUUGGUAAUAAGAGCCAGUAGAGGUGUUGGUGUCGGACUGUGGCAGAAUUGUUGACCCUCGAGACGAGCAUGUCGACACUUCAUAUGGUGAUGUUAAAUUUUGUAAUAUUUUUUUUAAAGUGGAAGGUGUUAUCAAUAGUUUGUUUUUAGUGAAUUUGAGAGUUGUAGGGAAAGUUUUUAGUUGAUGAAAUGUUUGUAACCACCCCGUGGUAACUAGUGUGUAUAUGGCCAUACUAUAUAACCUGUAGCAGACCUUUCCACUAAUCCCGUUGGUCAUUACACUAUCGGUAGUCCGUGAUCCUGUCCAUUAAGGGCUACCUGACUGGUGGCUGCACCUUGGUUACCCUGAUUUAGAGCACCCCAAACUGUCUAGUUUAUACUACAGAUAGGCGAAAGGGAGACUUAAUCGAGGUGUAUGUCAUCAGAAACGGCACUACUAGUGUCCAUACCUGAAGGUGGCAGAUGCAAGGA